GACGAACGCUGGCGGCGUGCCUAAUACAUGCAAGUCGAGCGGAUUGAUGGGAGCUUGCUCCCUGAUAUUAGCGGCGGACGGGUGAGUAACACGUGGGCAACCUGCCCUGCAGAUGGGGAUAACUCCGGGAAACCGGGGCUAAUACCGAAUAAUCAGUUCUUCCGCAUGGAAGAACUCUGAAAGACGGUUUCGGCUGUCACUGCAGGAUGGGCCCGCGGCGCAUUAGCUAGUUGGUGGGGUAAUGGCCUACCAAGGCGACGAUGCGUAGCCGACCUGAGAGGGUGAUCGGCCACACUGGGACUGAGACACGGCCCAGACUCCUACGGGAGGCAGCAGUAGGGAAUCUUCCACAAUGGACGAAAGUCUGAUGGAGCAACGCCGCGUGAGUGAAGAAGGUUUUCGGAUCGUAAAGCUCUGUUGUGAGGGAAGAACAAGUACGGGAGUAACUGCCCGUACCUUGACG
Molecule: ribosomal RNA, 463 nt
Filed under: uncultured bacterium
Lineage: Bacteria
Description: bacterial SSU rRNA
Rfam family: Bacterial small subunit ribosomal RNA
Source: RNAcentral